UACGAAGGUGGCUAGCGUUGUUCGGAAUUACUGGGCGUAAAGCGCACGUAGGCGGACUCUUAAGUCAGGGGUGAAAUCCCGGGGCUCAACCUCGGAACUGCCUUUGAUACUGUGAGUCUCGAGACCGGAAGAGGUGAGUGGAAUUCCUAGUGUAGAGGUGAAAUUCGUAUAUAUUAGGAAGAACACAAGUGGCGAAUGCGGCUCACUGGUCCGGUUCUGACGCUGAGGUGCGAAAGCGUGGGGAGCAAACAGG
This 253-nucleotide ribosomal RNA is filed under the name uncultured bacterium. Its description in RNAcentral is "partial 16S ribosomal RNA". It matches the Rfam family "Bacterial small subunit ribosomal RNA", at positions 524 to 776 of the family's 1533-position model. The record is from RNAcentral.